AGCGAACGCUAGCGGCGGGCCUAACACAUGCAAGUCGAGCGGGGGAGCAAUCCCCAGCGGCGGACGGGUGAGUAACACGUAGGUUAUGUGCCCUUUGGUGGGGAAUAACCGUGGGAAACCAUGGCUAAUUCCGCAUAUCGAGCGAAAUCUUGAAAGCCUUCGGGCGCCCAAAAGGAGCAACCUGCGGCCCAUUAGCUUGUUGGUAGGGUAACGGCCUACCAAGGCGAUGAUGGGUAGCUGGUCUGAGAGGAUGAUCAGCCACACUGGAACUGAGACACGGUCCAGACUCCUACGGAGGCAGCAGUGGGAAUAUUGCGCAAUGGCGAAGCCUGACGCAGCCACGCCGACGUGACGUGAUGAAGGCCUUCGGGUCGUAAA
RNAcentral lists this ribosomal RNA (378 nucleotides) under uncultured bacterium. RNAcentral describes it as "bacterial SSU rRNA". It matches the Rfam family "Bacterial small subunit ribosomal RNA", at positions 29 to 429 of the family's 1533-position model. The record is from RNAcentral.